GGACCCGCACAAGCGGUGGAGCAUGUGGUUUAAUUCGACGCAACGCGAAGAACCUUACCAGCUCUUGACAUCUUCUGUUCACUCUAGAGAUAGAGCUUCCCCUUCGGGGGCAGAAUGACAGGUGGUGCAUGGUUGUCGUCAGCUCGUGUCGUGAGAUGUUGGGUUAAGUCCCAUAACGAGCGCAACCCUUAUUGUUAGUUGCCAGCAUUCAGUUGGGCACUCUAGCGAGACUGCCGGUGAUAAACCGGAGGAAGGUGGGGAUGACGUCAAAUCAUCAUGCCCCUUAUGAGCUGGGCUACACACGUGCUACAAUGGACGGUACAACGGGUAGCGAGGGCGCGAGCCUUAGCAAAUCCUAAUAAGCCGUUCUCAGUUCGGAUUGUUCUCUGCAACUCGAGAGCAUGAAGCCGGAAUCGCUAGUAAUCGCGGAUCAGAAUGCCGCGGUGAAUACGUUCCCGGGUCUU
Molecule: ribosomal RNA, 464 nt
Filed under: uncultured bacterium
Lineage: Bacteria
Description: bacterial SSU rRNA
Rfam family: Bacterial small subunit ribosomal RNA
Source: RNAcentral